This 484-nucleotide ribosomal RNA is filed under the name uncultured bacterium. RNAcentral describes it as "partial 16S ribosomal RNA". It matches the Rfam family "Bacterial small subunit ribosomal RNA", at positions 30 to 507 of the family's 1533-position model. The record is from RNAcentral.
AUUGAACGCUGGCGGCAGGCCUAACACAUGCAAGUCGAGCGGAUGAAGGGAGCUUGCUCCUGGAUUCAGCGGCGGACGGGUGAGUAAUGCCUAGGAAUCUGCCUGGUAUUUGGGGAUAACGUCCGUAAACGGGCGCUAAUACCGCAUACGUCCUGAUGGAGAAAGUGGGGGAUCUUCGGACCUCACGCUAUCAGAUGAGCCUAGGUCGGAUUAGCUAGUUGGUGGGGUAAAGGCCUACCAAGGCGACGAUCCGUAACUGGUCUGAGAGGAUGAUCAGUCACACUGGAACUGAGACACGGUCCAGACUCCUACGGGAGGCAGCAGUGGGGAAUAUUGGACAAUGGGCGAAAGCCUGAUCCAGCCAUGCCGCGUGUGUGAAGAAGGUCUUCGGAUUGUAAAGCACUUUAAGUUGGGAGGAAGGGCAGUAAGUUAAUACCUUGCUGUUUUGACGUUACCAACAGAAUAAGCACCGGCUAACUUCGUG